GAUGAACGCUGGCGGCGUGCCUAAUACAUGCAAGUCGAGCGAACGGACGAGAAGCUUGCUUCUCUGAUGUUAGCGGCGGACGGGUGAGUAACACGUGGAUAACCUACCUAUAAGACUGGGAUAACUUCGGGAAACCGGAGCUAAUACCGGAUAAUAUUUUGAACCGCAUGGUUCAAAAGUGAAAGACGGUCUUGCUGUCACUUAUAGAUGGAUCCGCGCUGCAUUAGCUAGUUGGUAAGGUAACGGCUUACCAAGGCAACGAUGCAUAGCCGACCUGAGAGGGUGAUCGGCCACACUGGAACUGAGACACGGUCCAGACUCCUACGGGAGGCAGCAGUAGGGAAUCUUCCGCAAUGGGCGAAAGCCUGACGGAGCAACGCCGCGUGAGUGAUGAAGGUCUUCGGAUCGUAAAACUCUGUUAUUAGGGAAGAACAUAUGUGUAAGUAACUGUGCACAUCUUGACGGUACCUAAUCAGAAAGCCACGGCUAACUACGUGCCAGCAGCCGCGGUAAUACGUAAGUGGCAAGCGUUAUCCGGAAUUAUUGGGCGUAAAGCGCGCGUAGGCGGUUUUUUAAGUCUGAUGUGAAAGCCCACGGCUCAACCGUGGAGGGUCAUUGGAAACUGGAAAACUUGAGUGCAGAAGAGGAAAGUGGAAUUCCAUGUGUAGCGGUGAAAUGCGCAGAGAUAUGGAGGAACACCAGUGGCGAAGGCGACUUUCUGGUCUGUAACUGACGCUGAUGUGCGAAAGCGUGGGGAUCAAACAGGAUUAGAUACCCUGGUAGUCCACGCCGUAAACGAUGAGUGCUAAGUGUUAGGGGGUUUCCGCCCCUUAGUGCUGCAGCUAACGCAUUAAGCACUCCGCCUGGGGAGUACGACCGCAAGGUUGAAACUCAAAGGAAUUGACGGGGACCCGCACAAGCGGUGGAGCAUGUGGUUUAAUUCGAAGCAACGCGAAGAACCUUACCAAAUCUUGACAUCCUUUGACAACUCUAGAGAUAGAGCUUUCCCCUUCGGGGGACAAAGUGACAGGUGGUGCAUGGUUGUCGUCAGCUCGUGUCGUGAGAUGUUGGGUUAAGUCCCGCAACGAGCGCAACCCUUAAGCUUAGUUGCCAUCAUUAAGUUGGGCACUCUAAGUUGACUGCCGGUGACAAACCGGAGGAAGGUGGGGAUGACGUCAAAUCAUCAUGCCCCUUAUGAUUUGGGCUACACACGUGCUACAAUGGACAAUACAAAGGGCAGCGAAACCGCGAGGUCAAGCAAAUCCCAUAAAGUUGUUCUCAGUUCGGAUUGUAGUCUGCAACUCGACUACAUGAAGCUGGAAUCGCUAGUAAUCGUAGAUCAGCAUGCUACGGUGAAUACGUUCCCGGGUCU
Molecule: ribosomal RNA, 1372 nt
Filed under: uncultured bacterium
Lineage: Bacteria
Description: bacterial SSU rRNA
Rfam family: Bacterial small subunit ribosomal RNA
Source: RNAcentral